CCCUUAGAUGUUCUGGGCCGCACGCGCGUUACACUGAUGCAUUCAACGAGCUUAUAACCUUGGCCGAGAGGCCUGGGCAAUCUUGUUAACGUGCAUCGUGAUAGGGAUAGAUUAUUGAAAUUAUUAAUCUUGAACGAGGAAUUCCUAGUAAACGCAGAUCAUCAAUCUGCAUUGAUUACGUCCCUGCCCUUUGUACACACCGCCCGUCGCACCUACCGAUUGGAUGGUCCGGUGAAGCCUCGGGAUUGUGGUUCUUGCCGCUUUAUUGUGGCGUGACCGCGAGAACUUGUCUAAACCGUAUCAUCUAGAGGAAGGUGAAGUCGUAACA
RNAcentral lists this ribosomal RNA (328 nucleotides) under uncultured eukaryote. Its description in RNAcentral is "partial 18S ribosomal RNA". It matches the Rfam family "Eukaryotic small subunit ribosomal RNA", at positions 1470 to 1796 of the family's 1831-position model. The record is from RNAcentral.